UGGAAAGCACAGUUACUAAUUUUAAAAUAACAAAGAAGCACAUAAAAUUGUGUAAAACAGAUUCGAUAAGCAAUUUUACAAGCGAUCUGCUUCCUACAAUUUUUACUCUUAAAGAAUUAGGUACUUCAAGUGUAAAAGGAACACAAUGUAAUGCGAAUGUUAAGAAAGGUUAUAUAGCAAAGCCUCCAUUUGAUCAAAUUAAGCUGAAAGCUUUUAAAAGUUUUGUUUUAAAGAAAUUUGGAUGUACAAGAGAUAAUAAAUCUUUUGUCAAUGCAGCUACAAGGAACAAAUUAAAUGAGGCUGCAAGGAGAUUAAAAGAAGAAGAAAUGCUUUAAAAAAUAUAUUGUUUUUUUAUUAAAAAGAUUAAUCAAAACAUUAAAAUUAAUUAAAAUUUAAUUGUUUUUUAAGUAGUAUUAGAAUCAAAUAGAAGUUGAUUAAAUAUUACAUUAAUUUUAUCAUAUUCAAUUGACUUCCAUCGAUCCUGAUUUUACUUCAAUCAGUUUAAAAAAAAAAA
This is a long non-coding RNA of Monomorium pharaonis (pharaoh ant), 514 nucleotides long. RefSeq lists it as uncharacterized. NCBI's taxonomy places the organism in Eukaryota, Metazoa, Arthropoda, Insecta, Hymenoptera, Formicidae. The transcript is spliced from 2 exons. The record is from RefSeq and is a predicted model, not a curated record.